RNAcentral lists this ribosomal RNA (477 nucleotides) under uncultured bacterium. RNAcentral describes it as "partial 16S ribosomal RNA". It matches the Rfam family "Bacterial small subunit ribosomal RNA", at positions 28 to 523 of the family's 1533-position model. The record is from RNAcentral.
GAUCAACGCUGGCGGCGUGCAUGAGACAUGCAAGUCGAACGGACCCUUACGGGCUGCCUGUAAGGGUUAGUGGCGGACGGCUGAGUAACGCGUAGGUAACCUGCCCCGAAGUGGGGAAUAACUGCCCGAAAGGGUGGCUAAUACCGCAUGUGGUGGUGCGUUCGAUCGCACCAGUAAAGCCGCAAGGCGCUUCGGGAGGGGCCUGCGUCCGAUUAGCUCGUUGGUGAGGUAACGGCUCACCAAGGCGACGAUCGGUAGGUGGUCUGAGAGGACGAUCACCCAGACUGGGACUGAGACACGGCCCAGACUCCUACGGGAGGCAGCAGUCGGGAAUUUUGCGCAAUGGACGAAAGUCUGACGCAGCAACGCCGCGUGAGGGAUGACGGCCUUCGGGUUGUAAACCUCUUUUGUCAGGGACGAUGAUGACGGUACCUGACGAAUAAGCCACGGCUAACUACGUGCCAGCCGCCGCAGUAA